GAAGUACAAGGACUCACUUGGAAAAGAAAAAAAGUGUCUUGAUACACAAAAAUAAAUCUAAAGGGUCAGAGAUAUAAAAUACAAAUCUGGGAGUAAUAUAGAAGCAGAUUUUCACAUGCGCCUACUUGCACAACUCAGUAGAUGCUAUACCAAUGUCUCUUAGCUGCCAUAAGCAGGGAGUCAAAGGCAUUCUACUGUAGCAGAAAUGAGGGGGUUCCAUGUGGCCCUCUUCUGUACUGACAGCCCAUGUUCCCUGUGCCAUUUGCUACCCCAGAUACUAACAAUGAUGUCAUUGUUACAGUAUGUUUUCUACUAGAACAACACAAGUGGUAGGUGAAAAUCCAGAGUGUUUCUUUGCUCCUACUGUUCCUUCCUUAGCCUGAUAUUUUACUGGGGCCUCACAGAGAUGUUUGCAGAUUCUGAUCUGGAAUUCUCAUGGCUGGGGCAAUGGAAUGAGGAGUUGUGAUUUAUGCUUGAACACUCCAGAGGCAUCAGGCUGGACUGCACCUAAUCCCCAGCAAUCAAGUGCCCUGAGGACCCACGCUGAAUGGCAUAACAUAAGGGAUCGCUGGGAAAGAUAAAUGCUUCACUGUGCAGUCUGGGCAGCACAUUGUGUGCAUUUCCUCAGUCAACGCAUAGACUUUGAAGACUUGAAUCUUCUCCUUCAGCAUUUCUCUGGAACAUCCCCAGGCUGGUGAUCACUAGAUUCCGUGGUGUCCACUGACUGCUGUGUAGAUGACAGCUGACCUUUGCAGAGGAAGCAGUUCAUGAAGCUACACACUCACUGUGCACUGCUCAGGCAGGCCCGUUGCCAGUGAAUACAGUUAAGCAAGAAAAAGACCAAGUAGCGCUUGCCAAAUGUCUCCUGUUCCCCUCCUAGCCCCUCAACCCAUUUUCCACUUUUUCUUUGUAAAAUACUGUUAAUCUUUUUUUCUUUCCAUUCUAUCACUAUCUCAACUCAAAUCUUCAUCCAUUCAUGCCACAACUUCUGAAGUAAUGUUUAAAGGAGUCCCACACCAGCUAAGGUUUCCCCUGUCACUGAACAUUAGAAAUAAAUAUACACUUAAUUACUUUCCUAACACCCUUCUUUCAUGAAAUCCUCCUACUCAAUACUUUAACUCAGUUACUUUGAGUAGUCCCCUAAACUUGAACUACCCCAACUCAGACAUAUAUUAGCUAAAAUUGAGAUGUUCUCCAUUACUUGGUGAAGAAAUCCCUCCAAGAAAUUUGCCUUGGUGCUGGGUUUAUCACAUACUGUUCCACAAUGAGGUCAGUUUCUGACACCAAGACCUUAGCUGCCUUCGUCUUCCUCCAUCCUAAUUCUCUGUGUUCUAAUCUUCUUUGAAUACCCAGAUGCUGUCUUAGCCCUUCUAUCCGGCUUACCUGUUCUGAAUCCCUGCCCACUUUCUGCCUUCAUAGGCAUUUUCAGACAGCAGGCUCUUGCUCAAGUGUGCAUCCCACAUCCUCUGAAAGGCUUGCCUUUGUGAUAUCUCUGACAACUGUCUGUCUCUUUUGCUUCUGUUGCUAAGGGACAAUACCAUCCAUAAAACUUCAAGGAGGUCGCCUAUUUUUCUUCGUCCUCACAUUCAGUUCAUUCCCAAGUCCUAUUAGUUCUAUUCAUCCAAACAUGUCUCCUAUAAUCUUCCCUCAUACUUACUGCUACCACAGUGACACUAGGCACCAUCACUCAGAGCUUUAUAGCUCUCUCCUAAAGAGUCACCCAAACACAUUCUCCAUGAAACAGCCACUUAACACAUGCAAACACAUAGAAAUCAGACUGUGUUUCUCCCUUGCUGAAUGGUCCACAUUUAGCAUCAAAUAUAGACACAGCGGUAGCGCUUCUCAAACUCAUCUUGGGCCCCUCUCACUGUGAUGUAUUGCAUUCCAACAACAAUGGACUUCAGCUGAUUCCUAGACUGCCUCACCACCAGGACUCUUAAACUUCUGUGCCUGUAGUCAUAGCCAUGUCAUCUCCCAACAGAUCUAUUUUUGUAGCUGUUGACACCCCUCCCUCUUUCAUGUACUCAAUUAUACUUCUGUAAGACCUUUAUUAACCAUUCCAAAUAAAGAGGUCACCAUGUUUUCAUAUUUUA
Cricetulus griseus (Chinese hamster) is the source of this 2093-nucleotide non-coding RNA. The record is from RefSeq and is a predicted model, not a curated record. Lineage: Eukaryota; Metazoa; Chordata; Mammalia; Rodentia; Cricetidae.